Molecule: long non-coding RNA, 1133 nt
Organism: Alosa alosa (allis shad)
Lineage: Eukaryota; Metazoa; Chordata; Actinopteri; Clupeiformes; Clupeidae
Exons: 3
Source: RefSeq, a predicted model, not a curated record
UGUGCCAGUAUGGUCGGGAGUGAAAGAGCCCACCAACACCGCGGUGCCAAGGUCAUUGUUCUGGCGGUCCACGGGUGAGACCUAUACAGAUCUGUAUGCUCUGACAGUGUUGAUUUACUUGCGUCAUCGUGAAGUUAAUGCUCUAGUUGGCGAAUUGUAUCAGUCCUUGACGGUCUCCCCUCUUGCGCAACUGUCUCCUUCAACCUUGCUGAGGUGUUUGGUGGAAACUCUGUACUGUGAUAACAAAAAUCUCUAAGAAGCACAGCACAGCCCACCUGAAGUCUUUGGGAGCUUCGCCAGUCAGAUAAAAGUGCUUGCCAGUAGUUCUCUAAAGAGAGAGAGAGUGCUGGGAAUUGCUGCCCUCAAAUCAACAAUGAGGAAAGUGGAGGAGACUUAAAGUGAACAUGGCAGAAAGUGGGGAACGUAAACACAAGGCAGCCGAAUAUGGAGGAAAAACUGAGCGCUGUGUUGACAUGCAUGAGACGUGUUUUGAAAUAACACUUUAUAUACUAAGUACUGGGGGAAAAGCAGUGGUGCUUUACAGAAUUGGGGGGCCUAUGCAAUCAACAGCUUAGCUUAUGCUUAGACAUCAGGGGAAAUGUGUUUGUUGCUCUCCAAAUCCAGAGCCAAUUUUGCCCUCAGUCCUCCCAGUGAUGGCAUUAGUCAUGGAGAGAGAGUACAAUUCAACAUAAAUCUCAUUCGACAUACAUAUAUAUUUCUAUAUGUGAGGUUGACCUUUGUUCUCCUUUAGUGUUCUCGUAAGCCCAAGGCAAUUUUUAAGAUACACCAAAAAUAUAUAGGUCUAUGUGUUCUGUUUUCACCCAGGGAGAAGAUACUCCCUCCACAAGUGGCUUUGUGGAGGCCUCUCUUAUUCUGUUUGUGAAAUGACAUAUUAAGUGUGUGUGUGUGUGUGUGUGUUUUCAUGUGUGUAUGCAUUUCUGUGUGUCUGUAUGUGAGAGAGAUAGAUAAGAUAUAGAUAAGAUGAGAUGUUUAUUAUGCUGUUAUCACACACAGUGUAAGAGUUAUUGUGUUGCUGGGAGUUUAGUCUGGGAUUUGAGACUAGAGGAGGUCAAAGGGCUGGAAUACGACAAGAAUAAACAACCUUGGCCUGUGCUCUCUGAUCACUCCGCAAA